RNAcentral lists this ribosomal RNA (566 nucleotides) under uncultured bacterium. RNAcentral describes it as "bacterial SSU rRNA". It matches the Rfam family "Bacterial small subunit ribosomal RNA", at positions 1 to 545 of the family's 1533-position model. The record is from RNAcentral.
GCCGCGAAUUCCGCCCUUAGAGUUUGAUUAUGGCUCAGAUUGAACGCUGGCGGCAGGCCUAACACAUGCAAGUCGAGCGGUAGCACAGGAGAGCUUGCUCUCUGGGUGACGAGCGGCGGACGGGUGAGUAAUGUCUGGGAAACUGCCCGAUGGAGGGGGAUAACCACUGGAAACGGUGGCUAAUACCGCAUAACGUCUACGGACCAAAGAGGGGGACCUUCGGGCCUCUUGCCAUCGGAUGCGCCCAGAUGGGAUUAGCUAGUAGGCGGGGUAACGGCUCACCUAGGCGACGAUCCCUAGCUGGUCUGAGAGGAUGACCAGCCACACUGGAACUGAGACACGGUCCAGACUCCUACGGGAGGCAGCAGUGGGGAAUAUUGCACAAUGGGCGCAAGCCUGAUGCAGCCAUGCCGCGUGUGUGAAGAAGGCCUUCGGGUUGUAAAGCACUUUCAGCGAGGAGGAAGGCCAAUAAUUUAAUACGUUGUUGGAUUGACGUUACUCGCAGAAGAAGCACCGGCUAACUCCGUGCCAGCAGCCGCGGUAAUACGGAGGGUGCAAGCGUUAAU